CAAGUCGAGCGAAUCGAUGGGAGCUUGCUCCCUGAGAUUAGCGGCGGACGGGUGAGUAACACGUGGGCAACCUGCCUAUAAGACUGGGAUAACUUCGGGAAACCGGAGCUAAUACCGGAUACGUUCUUUUCUCGCAUGAGAGAAGAUGGAAAGACGGUUUACGCUGUCACUUAUAGAUGGGCCCGCGGCGCAUUAGCUAGUUGGUGAGGUAAUGGCUCACCAAGGCGACGAUGCGUAGCCGACCUGAGAGGGUGAUCGGCCACACUGGGACUGAGACACGGCCCAGACUCCUACGGGAGGCAGCAGUAGGGAAUCUUCCGCAAUGGACGAAAGUCUGACGGAGCAACGCCGCGUGAACGAAGAAGGCCUUCGGGUCGUAAAGUUCUGUUGUUAGGGAAGAACAAGUACCAGAGUAACUGCUGGUACCUUGACGGUACCUAACCAGAAAGCCACGGCUAACUACGUGCCAGCAGCCGCGGUAAUACGUAGGUGGCAAGCGUUGUCCGGAAUUAUUGGGCGUAAAGCGCGCGCAGGUGGUUCCUUAAGUCUGAUGUGAAAGCCCACGGCUCAACCGUGGAGGGUCAUUGGAAACUGGGGAAC
This 600-nucleotide ribosomal RNA is filed under the name Bacillus sp. FJAT-4496. RNAcentral describes it as "bacterial SSU rRNA". It matches the Rfam family "Bacterial small subunit ribosomal RNA", at positions 58 to 641 of the family's 1533-position model. The record is from RNAcentral. Lineage: Bacteria; Bacillati; Bacillota; Bacilli; Caryophanales; Bacillaceae.